GACGAACGCUGGCGGCGUGCCUAAUACAUGCAAGUCGAACGAAGCUGUUUUAACUGGUGCUUGCACCGACUUAAACAACUGAGUGGCGAACGGGUGAGUAACACGUGGGUAACCUGCCCCAAAGCGGGGGAUACCAUUUGGAAACAGAUGCUAAUACCGCAUAACCACAGAAACCACAUGGUUUCUGUGUCAAAGAUGGUUUCGGCUAUAACUUUGGGAUGGACCCGCGGCGUAUUAGCUAGUUGGUAAGGUAAUGGCUUACCAAGGCAAUGAGACGUAGCCGAACUGAGAGGUUGAUCGGCCACAUUGGGACUGAGACACGGCCCAAACUCCUACGGGAGGCAGCAGUAGGGAAUCUUCCACAAUGGACGAAAGUCUGAUGGAGCAACGCCGCGUGAGUGAAGAAGGUUUUCGGAUCGUAAAACUCUGUUGUCAGAGAAGAACGUGUGCGAGAGUAACUGUUCGUGCAGUGACGGUAUCUGGCCAGAAAGCCACGGCUAACUACGUGCCAGCCGCCGCUGUAA
This 524-nucleotide ribosomal RNA is filed under the name uncultured bacterium. RNAcentral describes it as "partial 16S ribosomal RNA". It matches the Rfam family "Bacterial small subunit ribosomal RNA", at positions 28 to 523 of the family's 1533-position model. The record is from RNAcentral.